This is a non-coding RNA of Gopherus flavomarginatus (Mexican gopher tortoise), 82 nucleotides long. The record is from the annotation of a RefSeq genome assembly. Lineage: Eukaryota; Metazoa; Chordata; Testudines; Testudinidae.
GUAGUUGUGGCCGAGUGGUUAAGGUGAUGGACUAGAAAUCCACUGGGGUUUUCUGGCGCAGGUUCGAUUCCUGCCAACUAAG